This 660-nucleotide ribosomal RNA is filed under the name Escherichia coli. Its description in RNAcentral is "partial 23S ribosomal RNA". It matches the Rfam family "Bacterial large subunit ribosomal RNA", at positions 578 to 1239 of the family's 2925-position model. The record is from RNAcentral. Lineage: Bacteria; Pseudomonadati; Pseudomonadota; Gammaproteobacteria; Enterobacterales; Enterobacteriaceae.
CACAGAGCAAUCUGUGUGACUGCGUACCUUUUGUAUAAUGGGUCAGCGACUUAUAUUCUGUAGCAAGGUUAACCGAAUAGGGGAGCCGAAGGGAAACCGAGUCUUAACUGGGCGUUAAGUUGCAGGGUAUAGACCCGAAACCCGGUGAUCUAGCCAUGGGCAGGUUGAAGGUUGGGUAACACUAACUGGAGGACCGAACCGACUAAUGUUGAAAAAUUAGCGGAUGACUUGUGGCUGGGGGUGAAAGGCCAAUCAAACCGGGAGAUAGCUGGUUCUCCCCGAAAGCUAUUUAGGUAGCGCCUCGUGAAUUCAUCUCCGGGGGUAGAGCACUGUUUCGGCAAGGGGGUCAUCCCGACUUACCAACCCGAUGCAAACUGCGAAUACCGGAGAAUGUUAUCACGGGAGACACACGGCGGGUGCUAACGUCCGUCGUGAAGAGGGAAACAACCCAGACCGCCAGCUAAGGUCCCAAAGUCAUGGUUAAGUGGGAAACGAUGUGGGAAGGCCCAGACAGCCAGGAUGUUGGCUUAGAAGCAGCCAUCAUUUAAAGAAAGCGUAAUAGCUCACUGGUCGAGUCGGCCUGCGCGGAAGAUGUAACGGGGCUAAACCAUGCACCGAAGCUGCGGCAGCGACACUGUGUGUUGUUGGGUAGGGGAGCGU